RNAcentral lists this unclassified non-coding RNA (368 nucleotides) under Bombus terrestris (buff-tailed bumblebee). RNAcentral's name for it is "misc RNA ENSBTSG00005027114.1". The record is from RNAcentral. Lineage: Eukaryota; Metazoa; Arthropoda; Insecta; Hymenoptera; Apidae.
GCAAACUUUGAUGUUACUACCUUCUGAACAAUCAGCGUGAGAAUCAUUGGUUGAUAGAAAAUUUAACGUAAUCAACAUUCCUUCUUUGACUGAAAUUGAUAUUUGAAAAUUUAUACUUGUCUCUAAUAUUUAUUGGAUUAUGCAUCGAUGUUCUCGAUCAUUUUUUCAUCUAACAUUAUUUGCUUUUACUAUGAAACAUGCAAUUGAUACGAGCAGCAAGUCUUUACAUAUAUCGAGAUUUACAGACGAACAAAAUCAACAAGUGGCUGCGCGUACCAACACUAAACGAAUAACAACGCUACAACUAUGAAUAGUUUGCAAACAAUUUUAGCCAGUCUGCAGAUAACUCGGCAUUAGACAGCACGAAG